Molecule: ribosomal RNA, 450 nt
Filed under: uncultured bacterium
Lineage: Bacteria
Description: bacterial SSU rRNA
Rfam family: Bacterial small subunit ribosomal RNA
Source: RNAcentral
GUGGGGAAUUUUGGACAAUGGGGGCAACCCUGAUCCAGCCAUUCCGCGUGAGUGAAGAAGGCCUUCGGGUUGUAAAGCUCUUUUGUCCGGAGCGAAACGGGUAGCCCUAAUACGGCUGCCUACUGACGGUACCGGAAGAAUAAGCACCGGCUAACUACGUGCCAGCAGCCGCGGUAAUACGUAGGGUGCGAGCGUUAAUCGGAAUUACUGGGCGUAAAGCGUGCGCAGGCGGUUUUGUAAGCCAGAUGUGAAAUCCCCGGGCUCAACCUGGGAAUGGCAUUUGGGACUGCAAGGCUGGAGUGUGGCAGAGGGGACUAGAAUUCCUGGUGUAGCAGUGAAAUGCGUAGAUAUCAGGAGGAAUACCGAUGGCGAAGGCAGGUCCCUGGGCUAACACUGACGCUCAUGCACGAAAGCGUGGGGAGCAAACAGGAUUAGAAACCCCAGUAGUCC